CAUUUAUGCAUGUUAUAAAUAUGAAUAAGGCCUAUUGAAACUUACUCUACUGGAUUUGGUGAAUGUAUACUUUAUCUAUAUACAAAAAUUAUAAUUUGCAUAAACUAAUAUCCUCAUUAUUGUUAUGUCAUUGCAACAGUGAUACAUAGUAUAUAAUUGAAGGUCUGAAUGAGGGGGUCUUCAUAUUUGAAUUCUUUAAUUUCUUAGGCUAUUUUUAUGCACCCAACAUGGCGAAGGGGGCGUCAAAUUUCACACAUGUUUGUCUGUACGGAGUCACUUUUACCAGUCAGGAGCUAUAUGCCCUUUCACAAAU
RNAcentral lists this long non-coding RNA (313 nucleotides) under Mytilus galloprovincialis (Mediterranean mussel). Lineage: Eukaryota; Metazoa; Mollusca; Bivalvia; Mytilida; Mytilidae. The record is from RNAcentral.